Molecule: ribosomal RNA, 376 nt
Filed under: uncultured bacterium
Lineage: Bacteria
Description: bacterial SSU rRNA
Rfam family: Bacterial small subunit ribosomal RNA
Source: RNAcentral
GUAGUCCACGCCGUAAACGAUGGGUACUAGGUGUAGGGGGGUCCCCCCUCUGUGCCGCAGUUAACACAUUAAGUACCCCGCCUGGGGAGUACGAUCGCAAGAUUAAAACUCAAAGGAAUUGACGGGGGCCCGCACAAGCAGCGGAGCAUGUGGUUUAAUUCGAAGCAACGCGAAGAACCUUACCAAGGCUUGACAUCCAAAGAAUCCACGAGAGAUCGAGGAGUGCCCUUCGGGGAACUUUGAGACAGGUGGUGCAUGGUUGUCGUCAGCUCGUGUCGUGAGAUGUUGGGUUAAGUCCCGCAACGAGCGCAACCCUUGUUGUUAGUUGCUACCAUUAAGUUGAGCACUCUAACGAGACUGCCGAGGUUAACUCGGA